UGCAAGUCGAACGGCAGCACGGGAAGGGGCAACCCUUCCUGGUGGCGAGUGGCGAACGGGUGAGUAAUGCAUCGGAACGUGUCCUCUUGUGGGGGAUAACCAGUCGAAAGACUGGCUAAUACCGCAUGAGCCCGAGAGGGGAAAGCGGGGAAUUCGAAAGAACCUCGCGCGAGUGGAGCGGCCGAUGGCCGAUUAGCUAGUUGGUGGGGUAAUAGCCCACCAAGGCGACGAUCGGUAGCUGGUCUGAGAGGAUGAUCAGCCACACUGGGACUGAGNNNCGGCCCAGACUCCUACGGGAGGCAGCAGUGGGGAAUUUUGGACAAUGGGCGCAAGCCUGAUCCAGCCAUGCCGCGUGUGUGAAGAAGGCCUUCGGGUUGUAAAGCACUUUCGGACGGAACGAAAUCGCACGGGCGAAUACCCCGUGUGGAUGACGGUACCGUAAGAAGAAGCACCGGCUAACUACGUGCCAGCAGCCGCGGUAAUACGUAGGGUGCGAGCGUUAAUCGGAAUUACUGGGCGUAAAGCGUGCGCAGGCGGUCGCGCAAGUCAGGUGUGAAAGCCCCGAGCUUAACUUGGGAAUUGCAUUUGAAACUACGUGACUGGAGUGUGGCAGAGGGAGGUGGAAUUCCACGUGUAGCGGUGAAAUGCGUAGAGAUGUGGAGGAACACCGAUGGCGAAGGCAGCCUCCUGGGCCAACACUGACGCUCAUGCACGAAAGCGUGGGGAGCAAACAGGAUUAGAUACCCUGGUAGUCCACGCCCUAAACGAUGUCUACUAGUUGUUGGGGGAGUUAAAUCCCUUAGUAACGUAGCUAACGCGUGAAGUAGACCGCCUGGGG
This 838-nucleotide ribosomal RNA is filed under the name uncultured beta proteobacterium. RNAcentral's name for it is "bacterial SSU rRNA". It matches the Rfam family "Bacterial small subunit ribosomal RNA", at positions 56 to 878 of the family's 1533-position model. The record is from RNAcentral. Lineage: Bacteria; Pseudomonadati; Pseudomonadota; Betaproteobacteria.